UCAGCUAUGAAAACACCCUGCACGCAAGC
This 29-nucleotide non-coding RNA is filed under the name Bombyx mori (domestic silkworm). The record is from RNAcentral. Lineage: Eukaryota; Metazoa; Arthropoda; Insecta; Lepidoptera; Bombycidae.